This 384-nucleotide ribosomal RNA is filed under the name uncultured soil bacterium. RNAcentral describes it as "bacterial SSU rRNA". It matches the Rfam family "Bacterial small subunit ribosomal RNA", at positions 26 to 413 of the family's 1533-position model. The record is from RNAcentral.
AGAUUGAACGCUGGCGGCAGGCCUAACACAUGCAAGUCGAGCGGUAGAGAGGUGCUUGCAUCUCUUGAGAGCGGCGGACGGGUGAGUAAUGCCUAGGAAUCUGCCUAGUGGUGGGGGAUAACGUUCGGAAACGGACGCUAAUACCGCAUACGUCCUACGGGAGAAAGCGGGGGACCUUCGGGCCUCGCGCCAUUAGAUGAGCCUAGGUCGAUUAGCUAGUUGGUGAGUAAUGGCUCACCAAGGCGACGAUCCGUAACUGGUCUGAGAGGAUGAUCAGUCACACUGGAACUGGGACACGGUCCAGACUCCGUACGGGAGCAGCAGGUGGGAAUAGUUGGACAAGUGGGACGAAAGCCUGAUCCAGCCAUGCCGCGUGUGUGGAAG